UUUCUUUGCUGGCGACCGGCGCACGGGUGAGUAACACGUAUCCAACCUGCCCUUUACUCGGGGAUAGCCUUCGAAAGAAAGAUUAAUACCGAUAGCAUAAUGAUUCCGCAUGGUUUCUAUUAUUAAAGGAUUCGGUAAAGGAUGGGGAUGCGUUCCAUUAGGUUGUUGGUGAGGUAACGGCUCACCAAGCCUUCGAUGGAUAGGGGUUCUGAGAGGAAGGUCCCCCACAUUGGAACUGAGACACGGUCCAA
RNAcentral lists this ribosomal RNA (251 nucleotides) under uncultured bacterium. Its description in RNAcentral is "partial 16S ribosomal RNA". It matches the Rfam family "Bacterial small subunit ribosomal RNA", at positions 80 to 334 of the family's 1533-position model. The record is from RNAcentral.